GCCUAGAGCACUGUGAGCUCACAUUCUCCCCCGGCUCCGGAUGGCGCUCCUGGAAGCUCUGCAGCCAGUCUCUACUUCAAAUGGGCUAAUGUUUUCACUGAAGAAUGAAAUGAACAGACAGAGACAAUUAAGCGAGCAGAUACAGUGAAAAGGAACACCGGCCGGCACUUUUCACACGACUGGAAGUGUAUGAAAGAAUUCCGCUUGGAAUCUGGUCCUCCGGCCACAGGGGUUUUGCCGUUUGCAUCAUUUUUCUUUUGCAAACCCCUCAGCCACCCCAGUGCACUGCCCGCCACUUCCCCUUUAUGGAAGAAAAAGACCGAGGCGCACAAAGAAAGGCCCAAAUACUCACAGGCACGGGAAAUAUUUUCUCUGCCUGUUACAAGGACCGGAUAAGCUCCAAGAAAGAAAAUCCACCUAGAUAUUUUAAACUGGGAAUGUCUCCCCGAAGCCUGUUAAAUGUUCACAUGUGUCUUCAUGAAAUGUGCAGUAUGAAUUGUUUACACAGCACUGAUUGAGGGCAUGAGCACCAUUAAAAAGGAUCAAGUCGGUUUAGGGAUGGAAAAUUGUAGAAGCCAGAACUGCUAUCCACAAGGAGAAGUGUAGAGUUUUGGUUUCCUUUAAAUAAUAAUAGGCUGGUCUUGAUAGCGAAAGAUACUUCAACCACCAGAAGUGAGCUGUUGGUGAGCCUUCCAAGUUCUGUAAGGAAUCAACAAGGCAGUGGGGUCACUCUCAAACAGGUUCCCGAGGCGAAUGUUGGUGGGGUUGCCAGUGCUCUGUGACAUCUGUCUCUCUUCCUAGUGCCACACUAAGAGAUUUUCCAUGGCGGGAGCUCAGCGUGCCUAGUGUGGGGUUUACCUUGUUCAUAGUGUGCUGUGGUUUGAGGAGACUGGCUACAGCUCCACAAGGUGGUGGCUGAGGAUGAAGCCUCCUUGCUAUGCCUCAGAAGACUAAUUCCCAGCUGCUGGGAGGCUGCCUGGCUGGUUCCCUCUGAAUAUAAGCUUCCAUCUAUAUACCCCAGUUGCAGUGAGGAGGGGCCUACGAUAGGCUCAGAACACAAACCCACAGAAAGCUUAAACCUGGGCGGAUGUGCCACACCUUGGUCCUGAAUGAGGAAGAUGGACAAGAUCCGUGGGAUUAUACUGACAUGGCUUCCGUUUCUAAUUGGGUUUUGUUUGUUUGUUUGUUUGUUUGUUUGUUUGUUUUUUAAAUGGAAUCCAUACCUAAGAAUUUCUUAAUAAAACACCUCCCUUGUAAACCA
RNAcentral lists this long non-coding RNA (1261 nucleotides) under Rattus norvegicus (Norway rat). Its description in RNAcentral is "long non-coding RNA NONRATT027591". The record is from RNAcentral. Lineage: Eukaryota; Metazoa; Chordata; Mammalia; Rodentia; Muridae.